AACUUAGAAGUCCUUGAUGUUCUUUCAGAGUGCAGCCAUGUUUGAACACGAUGUUCAAACAAGCCGCCACUGAGCCAUGGAUGGCGAAUUGGCGGUGAUGGCGGACAUAGAGAAAAAGAAAAUUAAGAACAUCUAGUACUUCUUAGUUUC
RNAcentral lists this non-coding RNA (150 nucleotides) under human gut metagenome. The record is from RNAcentral.